Long non-coding RNA from Canis lupus familiaris (dog), 570 nucleotides. RefSeq lists it as uncharacterized. NCBI's taxonomy places the organism in Eukaryota, Metazoa, Chordata, Mammalia, Carnivora, Canidae. The record is from RefSeq and is a predicted model, not a curated record. The transcript is spliced from 4 exons.
CUGCUGCCAACUCAUGACGGAAGUAGGUUUGUGGGAAGGGAGGAGGGACGAGGGCACUGAAGGGAGUGGACGCAACCCAGCAGCAUUUUUCCUGGCCCGGCCUGGGAAGCUCGCUUUUCCUCUUGGGAAGCUCCUCUGGAGCCCAAUACAGCCAGGGGGCCGUGAGGGCCUCCUCGGGGCCAGACAGGAUGAAGACUCUCGAGGGUGUGCAGAAAUCUGCCCUCGCUGACACUUUCAGCAAGAAGAAGGGUGCGGCCCGUCUGGUCACCUUGUCAUUUGUAAAAAUCUUCAACUCCAAUCAAAGAGACAAUUCAAAGCUUUGGUUAAGGCUGAUCACAGAGAGAGAGAGAGGCAGAGACAUAGGCAGAGGGAGAAGCAGGCUCCAUGCACCGGGAGCCCGACGUGGGACUCGAUCCCGGGUCUCCAGGAUCGCGCCCUGAGCCAAAGGCAGACACCAAACCGCUGUGCCACCCAGGGAUCCCAAGAGAGGCAUUUCUAAUAAAAUUUUACCUUUUGGGGUCAUAGUAUCUUACCCAAAUGUGUCAAUAAACAGAUGAUACAUUUAUGUUA